This 252-nucleotide ribosomal RNA is filed under the name uncultured bacterium. RNAcentral describes it as "partial 16S ribosomal RNA". It matches the Rfam family "Bacterial small subunit ribosomal RNA", at positions 524 to 776 of the family's 1533-position model. The record is from RNAcentral.
UACGAAGGGGGCUAGCGUUGUUCGGAAUUACUGGGCGUAAAGCGUGCGCAGACGGUUGCGUAAGUCAGAUGUGAAAGCCCCGGGCUCAACCUGGGAAUUGCAUUUGAGACUGCGUAGCUAGGGUGCGGAAGAGGGAAGCGGAAUUUCCGGUGUAGCGGUGAAAUGCGUAGAUAUCGGAAGGAACACCAGUGGCGAAAGCGGCUUCCUGGUCCAGCACCGACGUCAGGCACGAAAGCGUGGGGAGCAAACAGG